AGCAGUCGCCGCGGGAACACGAAGGGUGCAAGCGUUACUCGGAAUUACUGGGCGUAAAGCGUGCGUAGGUGGUGGUUUAAGUCCGUUGUGAAAGCCCUGGGCUCAACCUGGGAAUUGCAGUGGAUACUGGGUCACUAGAGUGUGGUAGAGGAUAGUGGAAUUUCCGGUGUAGCAGUGAAAUGCGUAGGGAUCGGAAGGAACAUCUGUGGCGAAGGCGACUAUCUGGGCCAACACUGACACUGAGGCACGAAAGCGUGGGGAGCAAACAGGAUUAGAUACCCCGGUAGUCCCUGUCUCUUAUAC
Molecule: ribosomal RNA, 303 nt
Filed under: uncultured bacterium
Lineage: Bacteria
Description: partial 16S ribosomal RNA
Rfam family: Bacterial small subunit ribosomal RNA
Source: RNAcentral